Molecule: unclassified non-coding RNA, 344 nt
Filed under: soil metagenome
Description: partial contains 5.8S ribosomal RNA, internal transcribed spacer 2, and large subunit ribosomal RNA
Rfam family: 5.8S ribosomal RNA (bases 1-119)
Source: RNAcentral
GAUGAAGAACGUAGUGAAAUGCGAUACGUAAUGUGAAUUGCAAAUUCAGUGAAUCAUCGAGUCUUUGAACGCACAUUGCGCCCCCUGGUAUUCCGGGGGGCAUGCCUGUCCGAGCGUCAUUGCUGCCCUCAAGCACGGCUUGUGUGUUGGGCCCCGUCCUCCGAUCCCGGGGGACGGGCCCGAAAGGCAGCGGCGGCACCGCGUCCGGUCCUCGAGCGUAUGGGCUUUGUCACCCGCUCUGUAGGCCCGGCCGGCGCUUGCCGAUCAACCCAAAUUUUUAUCCAGGUUGACCUCGGAUCAGGUAGGGAUACCCGCUGAACUUAAGCAUAUCAAUAAGCGGAGGA